AGCAGCCGCGGUAAUUCCAGCUCCAAUAGCGUAUAUUAAAGUUGUUGCAGUUAAAAAGCUCGUAGUUGAAUUUCGGGAUUGGCGCAUCGGUCGUGCCUCACGGGGUAUGAACUGGUGCAGUCAAUUUCUCACCUUCUGGAGAACCGCGAUGUCCUUAAUUGGAUGCCGCGGGGAACCAGGACCUUUACUUUGAAAAAAUUAGAGUGUUUAAAGCAGGCAUUUUUGCUUGAAUACAUUAGCAUGGAAUAAUAAAAUAGGACGGCAUGGUUCUAUUUUGUUGGUUUCUAGGACCACCGUAAUGAUUAAUAGGGAUAGUUGGGGGCAUUAGUAUUCAAUUGUCAGAGGUGAAAUUCUUGGAUUUAUUGAAGACUAACUACUGCGAAAGCAUUUGCCAAGGAUGUUUUCAUUAAUCAAGAACGAAAGUUAGGGGAUCGAAGACGAUCAGAUACCGUCGUAGUCUUAACCAUAAACUAUGCCGACUAGGAAUCAGACGAUGUUAAUUUUUUUCAAUGACUCGUUU
RNAcentral lists this ribosomal RNA (520 nucleotides) under uncultured Entrophospora. RNAcentral's name for it is "SSU rRNA". It matches the Rfam family "Eukaryotic small subunit ribosomal RNA", at positions 569 to 1081 of the family's 1831-position model. The record is from RNAcentral. Lineage: Eukaryota; Fungi; Glomeromycota; Glomeromycetes; Entrophosporales; Entrophosporaceae.